GUCCACAGGGACCGUCCCGGGUGGGAUCACAAAUAUGCCCGGGGGCCCGGGGAGCAGAGGAGCUAUUACGGAGGCCCUGCUGCACGGGGACGCCAACCUUGGGCUUCCAGCCUCCAGAGUGUGAGAAGGAAAUACCUGUUGCUUACAAGGCCCCGGCCUGCAGCCCAGAAGGACGGACUACUCUGCUCUCCCACAGGUGUGGAGUCCUCCACAGGUGGCUCUGGGGUGUGAGCCCCCACAUGGAACCUCACAGAGCUGAGCACAGCACAUCCUGUGGCUUGAGCGGCAAGUCCCGCCGACACCCGGCUACGUCCAGGUGUGAAGCCACGGCCCUGAGGUCGAUGGAUGCUGGGCUGGUGGGGGCGGGGACCCUAGUAAAGAGGGCUCUGUUCUUGCAACUAUAUGACACUAUUCCCUACUGAAGACUCUGGGACCACAGGUGAGCCAUAGAUGAAGCACAGGUGAGCCACAGGUGGGCCACAGGUGAGCCACAGGUGAAGCACAGAUGAAGCACAGGUGAGCCACUGUGGGUGAAGCACAGGUGAGCCACAGGUGAAGCACAGGUGAGCCACAGGUGAAGCACAGGUGAAGCACAGGUGAGCCACAGAUAAACCACAGGUGAAAUCACAAAUGAACCAUGGGUGAGCCACAGGUGAAGCACAACCAAGCCACUGAUAAGACACUGUGGGUGAACCAUAGGUGAGCCACAGGUGAAGCACAGGUGAAUCACAGAUGAGCCACAGGUGAGCCACAGGUGAAGCACAGGUGAGCCACAGAUGACCCACCAGUGACGCACAAGUGAGCCACAGGUGAACCACUGUGGGUGAACCACAGGUGAGCUACAGGUGAGCCACAGGUGAGCCACUGUGGGUGAACCACAGAUGAACCACAGAUGAACCAUAGAUGAAACAUAGGCGAGCCACAGGUGAGCCACAGAUGAACCACAGGUGAACCACAGGUGAUCCACAGGUGAACCACAGAUGAGCCACAGGUGAGCCACUGCCGGGGGCAGGCAGGCGCCAUGUAAUCACAUUCUUUCUUUCUGGUCAGCACUCCUGGGUGACCUAUGGCAGUGACCGGGCUGCUGAGUUGACAAAGUGCUUGGUCAGCGAGGUAUCAGCUUGCAUUUCUCAAAGUGAGGCCCCCUCACCACCUGCCCCUGGCCCUAGGGUCCCAGUGCCACCUGCUGAGUGUCUCUUGGGCCCACCUCACACCGUGCAGACCAGAGCUGACACCUGCCUGGAGAGGCCAGGGUCGUCUCCAAGCAAUACCUUGUGUCCAGGUGCCGAGCCUCUUGGAGCCUCCAUCCUGGCGCCAGAACACACAGACUCUUCUGAGCGGCUGCCUCCUGAGGGGCCCAGAGCGGCUGGAGCAACCGUGGGGACCAGAUGGCCCCGAACAGGUUGCAGGUCUGCAAACAUUCC
This 1424-nucleotide long non-coding RNA is filed under the name Vulpes vulpes (red fox). RNAcentral's name for it is "lncRNA (ENSVVUG00000016023.1)". Lineage: Eukaryota; Metazoa; Chordata; Mammalia; Carnivora; Canidae. The record is from RNAcentral.